RNAcentral lists this ribosomal RNA (305 nucleotides) under uncultured bacterium. Its description in RNAcentral is "bacterial SSU rRNA". It matches the Rfam family "Bacterial small subunit ribosomal RNA", at positions 331 to 631 of the family's 1533-position model. The record is from RNAcentral.
GCAAACCACGGGACGCAGCAGUGGGGAAUAUUGCGCAAUGGGCGAAAGCCUGACGCAGCGACGCCGCGUGAGGGAUGAAGGUCUUCGGAUCGUAAACCUCUGUCAGCAGGGAAGAACGGUCACUGUGCUAAUCAGCAGUGAAUUGACGGUACCUGCAAAGGAAGCACCGGCUAACUCCGUGCCAGCAGCCGCGGUAAUACGGAGGGUGCGAGCGUUAAUCGGAAUUACUGGGCGUAAAGCGCUCGUAGGCGGUAUGGCAAGUCAAGGGUGACAUCCCCGCGCUCAACGUGGGAACUGCCUUUGAA